GACAGUAUCGGCCUCAGGAACAGGGUGGAGGGAGAAAACUGAUUUCUGAAAGUUGUCCUCUUACUUCUACACAUGCGGUGACAUAUGCAUACCUGUAAGAUCAAUCUAAAGAGACAAAUGCAGUGGGACACCUGUAACCCCUUGGGAAGCUGAGGCAAAGGGAUUACUAGAACCCAGGAUUAGGAGUUCAAGACCCAGCAGCU
Molecule: ribosomal RNA, 203 nt
Filed under: uncultured bacterium
Lineage: Bacteria
Description: partial 16S ribosomal RNA
Source: RNAcentral